AGGCAGCAGUGGGGAAUAUUGCACAAUGGGCGAAAGCCUGAUGCAGCAACGCCGCGUGAGGGAUGACGGCCUUCGGGUUGUAAACCUCUUUUAGUAGGGAAGAAGGGCUUCGGCUUGACGGUACCUGCAGAAAAAGCACCGGCUAACUACGUGCCAGCAGCCGCGGUAAUACGUAGGGUGCGAGCGUUGUCCGGAAUUAUUGGGCGUAAAGAGCUCGUAGGCGGUUUGUCACGUCUGCUGUGAAAUCCCGAGGCUCAACCUCGGGCCUGCAGUGGGUACGGGCAGACUGGAGUGCGGUAGGGGAGAUUGGAAUUCCUGGUGUAGCGGUGGAAUGCGCAGAUAUCAGGAGGAACACCGAUGGCGAAGGCAGAUCUCUGGGCCGUAACUGACGCUGAGGAGCGAAAGCGUGGGGAGCGAACAGGAUUAGAUACCCUGGUAGUCCACGCCGUAAACGUUGGGCGCUAGAUGUGGGGACCAUUCCACGGUUUCCGUGUCGUAGCUAACGCAUUAAGCGCCCCGCCUGGGGAGUACGGCCGCAAGGCUAAAACUCAAAGGAAU
RNAcentral lists this ribosomal RNA (558 nucleotides) under bacterium 64. Its description in RNAcentral is "bacterial SSU rRNA". It matches the Rfam family "Bacterial small subunit ribosomal RNA", at positions 346 to 910 of the family's 1533-position model. The record is from RNAcentral.